GCCCACUGAUAAUUAUUAAAGGGCCGCAGUAUUUUGACUGUGCGAAGGUAGCAUAAUCAAUAGUCUUUUAAUUGAAGGCUUGUAUGAAUGGUUGAAUGAGAUAUAUACUGUCUUUUUUAAAUUUUUAUAGAAUUUUAUUUUUUAAUUAAAAAGUUAAAAUAUAAUUAAAAGACGAGAAGACCCUAUAGAUCUUUAUUUUUGUUAAUUAUAAAUUAAAAAGAAUAAUUAAAUUUAUAAUUUAAUAAAAAAUUUUACUGGGGUGGUAUUAAAAUUUAAUUAACUUUUAUUAUUUAUUUACAUUAAUAUAUGAAUAUUUGAUCCAAUUAUAUUGAUUAAAAAAUUAAGUUACCUUAGGGAUAACAGCGUAAUUUUUUUUUAGAGUUCUUAUCGACAAAAAAGAUUGCGACCUCGAUGUUGGAUUAAGAGUUAUUUUUAGGUGUAGAAGUUUAAAGUUUAGGUCUGUUCGACCUUUGAAUUCUUACAUGAUCUGAGUUCAAACCGGCGUAAGCCAGGUUGGUUUCUAUCUUUAAUUAAUUAUUAUAUUAUAGUACGAAAGGACCUAAUAUAAAAAAUAUAAAUUUUAAAUAUAUGAAUUAUAUUAAUAUUUAAUAAAACUAUUUUGGCAGAUUAGUGCAAUAAAUUUAGAAUUUAUUUAUAUAAUUUAAUUAAUUAUAAAUAGUAUUGUUUUUUAUAGAUUAUUUGUUAUCAUUAAUUGGAAGUUUAUUAUUAGUAAUUUGUGUAAUAGUAGGAGUAGCCUUUUUGACUUUACUAGAGCGUAAAGUUUUAGGAUACAUUCAAAUUCGA
RNAcentral lists this ribosomal RNA (804 nucleotides) under Aedes flavopictus. RNAcentral's name for it is "partial 16S ribosomal RNA". The stretch from base 1 to 562 matches the Rfam family "Bacterial large subunit ribosomal RNA", at positions 1861 to 2925 of the family's 2925-position model. The record is from RNAcentral. Lineage: Eukaryota; Metazoa; Arthropoda; Insecta; Diptera; Culicidae.